GGGAAUCUUACCGGGGGCGACAGCAGAGUGAAGGUCAAGCUGAAGACUUUACCAGACAAGCUGAGAGGAGGUGCAUGGCCGUCGCCAGCUCGUGCCGUGAGGUGUCCUGUUAAGUCAGGUAACGAGCAAGAUCCCUGCCUCUAGUUGCUACCACUGCUCUCAGGAGCAGAGGGGCUAAUUAGAGGGACCGCCGCCGCUGAGGCGGAGGAAGGAGGGGGCUACGGCAGGUCAGUAUGCCCCGAAACCCUCGGGCCACACGCGGGCUGCAAUGGUAAGGACAGCGGGCUCCGAUCCCGAAAGGGGGAGGCAAUCCCUCAAACCUUACCACAGUUAUGAUUGAGGGCUGAAACUCGCCCUCAUGAAUAUGGAAUCCCUAGUAACCGCGCGUCAACAUCGUGCGGUGAAUACGUCCCUGCUCCUUGCACACACCGCCCGUCGCUUCAUCGAAGUUGGUUCUUGGCGAGGUGGUGCCUCAUUGGCACUAUCGAACCUGGGGUCAGCAACGAGGGAGAAGUCGUAACAAGGUGGCCGUAGGGGAACCUGCGGCCGGAUCACCUCCU
Molecule: ribosomal RNA, 560 nt
Filed under: Thermoproteota archaeon
Lineage: Archaea; Thermoproteati; Thermoproteota
Description: bacterial SSU rRNA
Rfam family: Archaeal small subunit ribosomal RNA
Source: RNAcentral